GGGCGCGUGGCGGAACUGGUAUACGCAGCAGACUUAAAAUCUGCCGUCCCGAAAGGGGCUUGCCGGUUCAAGUCCGGCCGCGCCCACCA
This 89-nucleotide transfer RNA is filed under the name Pseudomonadota bacterium. Its description in RNAcentral is "tRNA-Leu". It matches the Rfam family "tRNA". From Rfam's summary of the family: Transfer RNA (tRNA) molecules are approximately 80 nucleotides in length. Their secondary structure includes four short double-helical elements and three loops (D, anti-codon, and T loops). Further hydrogen bonds mediate the characteristic L-shaped molecular structure. tRNAs have two regions of fundamental functional importance: the anti-codon, which is responsible for specific mRNA codon recognition, and the 3' end, to which the tRNAs corresponding amino acid is attached (by aminoacyl-tRNA synthetases). tRNAs cope with the degeneracy of the genetic code in two manners: having more than one tRNA (with a specific anti-codon) for a particular amino acid; and 'wobble' base-pairing, i.e. permitting non-standard base-pairing at the 3rd anti-codon position. The record is from RNAcentral. Lineage: Bacteria; Pseudomonadati; Pseudomonadota.